Molecule: ribosomal RNA, 492 nt
Filed under: uncultured bacterium
Lineage: Bacteria
Description: partial 16S ribosomal RNA
Rfam family: Bacterial small subunit ribosomal RNA
Source: RNAcentral
AGUGAUCGCUGGCGGUAGGCCUAACACAUGCGAGUCGAACGGCAGCACAGUAAGAGCUUGCUCUUACGGGUGGCGAGUGGCGGACGGGUGAGGAAUACAUCGGAAUCUACUUUUUCGUGGGGGAUAACGUAGGGAAACUUACGCUAAUACCGCAUACGACCUACGGGUGAAAGCAGGGGAUCUUCGGACCUUGCGCGAUUGAAUGAGCCGAUGUCGGAUUAGCUAGUUGGCGGGGUAAAGGCCCACCAAGGCGACGAUCCGUAGCUGGUCUGAGAGGAUGAUCAGCCACACUGGAACUGAGACACGGUCCAGACUCCUACGGGAGGCAGCAGUGGGGAAUAUUGGACAAUGGGCGCAAGCCUGAUCCAGCCAUACCGCGUGGGUGAAGAAGGCCUUCGGGUUGUAAAGCCCUUUUGUUGGGAAAGAAAAGCAGCAGGUUAAUACCCCGCUGUUCUGACGGUACCCAAAGAAUAAGCACCGGCUAACUUCGUG